AUUGAGGUGGCAGAAACAGGCAAUUGUAAAAGACCUAAAACCUUUAUCUGAGAGUUCAAAUCUCUCCCCCAAUC
RNAcentral lists this transfer RNA (74 nucleotides) under Plethodon shenandoah (Shenandoah salamander). Its description in RNAcentral is "tRNA-Leu". It matches the Rfam family "tRNA". From Rfam's summary of the family: Transfer RNA (tRNA) molecules are approximately 80 nucleotides in length. Their secondary structure includes four short double-helical elements and three loops (D, anti-codon, and T loops). Further hydrogen bonds mediate the characteristic L-shaped molecular structure. tRNAs have two regions of fundamental functional importance: the anti-codon, which is responsible for specific mRNA codon recognition, and the 3' end, to which the tRNAs corresponding amino acid is attached (by aminoacyl-tRNA synthetases). tRNAs cope with the degeneracy of the genetic code in two manners: having more than one tRNA (with a specific anti-codon) for a particular amino acid; and 'wobble' base-pairing, i.e. permitting non-standard base-pairing at the 3rd anti-codon position. Lineage: Eukaryota; Metazoa; Chordata; Amphibia; Caudata; Plethodontidae. The record is from RNAcentral.